ACUCCUACGGGAGGCAGCAGUAGGGAAUCUUCCACAAUGGGCGCAAGCCUGAUGGAGCAACACCGCGUGAGUGAAGAAGGAUUUCGGCUCGUAAAGCUCUGUUGUUAAAGAAGAACACGUAUGAGAGUAACUGUUCAUACGUUGACGGUAUUUAACCAGAAAGUCACGGCUAACUACGUGCCAGCAGCCGCGGUAAUACGUAGGUGGCAAGCGUUAUCCGGAUUUAUUGGGCGUAAAGAGAGUGCAGGCGGUUUUCUAAGUCUGAUGUGAAAGCCUUCGGCUUAACCGGAGAAGUGCAUCGGAAACUGGAUAACUUGAGUGCAGAAGAGGGUAGUGGAACUCCAUGUGUAGCGGUGGAAUGCGUAGAUAUAUGGAAGAACACCAGUGGCGAAGGCGGCUACCUGGUCUGCAACUGACGCUGAGACUCGAAAGCAUGGGUAGCGAACAGGAUUAGAUACCCUGGUAGGAUAGCG
RNAcentral lists this ribosomal RNA (473 nucleotides) under uncultured bacterium. RNAcentral describes it as "bacterial SSU rRNA". It matches the Rfam family "Bacterial small subunit ribosomal RNA", at positions 335 to 801 of the family's 1533-position model. The record is from RNAcentral.